GGUUAAGCGACUAAGCGUACACGGUGGAUGCCCUGGCAGUCAGAGGCGAUGAAGGGCGUGCUAAUCUGCGAUAAGCGCCGGUAAGGUGAUAUGAACCGUUAUAACCGGCGAUACCCGAAUGGGGAAACCCAGUGUGAUUCGUCACACUAUCAUUAACUGAAUCCAUAGGUUAAUGAGGCGAACCGGGGGAACUGAAACAUCUAAGUACCCCGAGGAAAAGAAAUCAACCGAGAUUCCCCCAGUAGCGGCGAGCGAACGGGGAGGAGCCCAGAGCCUGAAUCAGCAUGUGUGUUAGUGGAAGCGUCUGGAAAGGCGCGCGAUACAGGGUGACAGCCCCGUACACAAAAGCGCAUGUGCUGUGAGCUCGAUGAGUAGGGCGGGACACGUGGUAUCCUGUCUGAAUAUGGGGGGACCAUCCUCCAAGGCUAAAUACUCCUGACUGACCGAUAGUGAACCAGUACCGUGAGGGAAAGGCGAAAAGAACCCCGGCGAGGGGAGUGAAAAAGAACCUGAAACCGUGUACGUACAAGCAGUGGGAGCCCCACCACUAAGCCAGUGGUGAACUCCACAUACGCAUCCUUUGCUGAGGAUACGGUUAACGGAGCGAAAGCGACGUUCAACCUCAAAAGAAGCAGAGGGGGCUUAGUGGUGGGGUGACUGCGUACCUUUUGUAUAAUGGGUCAGCGACUUAUAUUCUGUAGCAAGGUUAACCGUAUAGGGGAGCCGGAGGGAAACCGAGUCUUAACCGGGCGUUAAGUUGCAGGGUAUAGACCCGAAACCCGGUGAUCUAGCCAUGGGCAGGUUGAAGGUUGGGUAACACUAACUGGAGGACCGAACCGACUAAUGUUGAAAAAUUAGCGGAUGACCUGUGGCUGGGGGUGAAAGGCCAAUCAAACCGGGAGAUAGCUGGUUCUCCCCGAAAGCUAUUUAGGUAGCGCCUCGUGAAUUCAUCUCCGGGGGUAGAGCACUGUUUCGGCUAGGGGGUCAUCCCGACUUACCAACCCGAUGCAAACUGCGAAUACCGGAGAAUGUUAUCACGGGAGACACACGGCGGGUGCUAACGUCCGUCGUGAAGAGGGAAACAACCCAGACCGCCAGCUAAGGUCCCAAAGUCAUGGUUAAGUGGGAAACGAUGUGGGAAGGCCCAGACAGCCAGGAUGUUGGCUUAGAAGCAGCCAUCAUUUAAAGAAAGCGUAAUAGCUCACUGGUCGAGUCGGCCUGCGCGGAAGAUGUAACGGGGCUAAACCAUGCACCGAAGCUGCGGCAGCGACACUGUGUGUUGUUGGGUAGGGGAGCGUUCUGUAAGCCUGUGAAGGUGGCCUGUGAGGGUUGCUGGAGGUAUCAGAAGUGCGAAUGCUGACAUAAGUAACGAUAAAGCGGGUGAAAAGCCCGCUCGCCGGAAGACCAAGGGUUCCUGUCCAACGUUAAUCGGGGCAGGGUGAGUCGACCCCUAAGGCGAGGCCGAAAGGCGUAGUCGAUGGGAAACGGGUUAAUAUUCCCGUACUUGGUGUUACUGCGAAGGGGGGACGGAGAAGGCUAUGUUGGCCGGGCGACGGUUGUCCCGGUUUAAGCGUGUAGGUGUGUGUUCCAGGUAAAUCCGGUUCACUUUAACACUGAGGCGUGACGACGAGGCACUACGGUGCUGAAGCAACAAAUGCCCUGCUUCCAGGAAAAGCCUCUAAGCAUCAGGUAACAUCAAAUCGUACCCCAAACCGACACAGGUGGUCAGGUAGAGAAUACCAAGGCGCUUGAGAGAACUCGGGUGAAGGAACUAGGCAAAAUGGUGCCGUAACUUCGGGAGAAGGCACGCUGACACGUAGGUGAAGUGAUUUACUCACGGAGCUGAAGUCAGUCGAAGAUACCAGCUGGCUGCAACUGUUUAUUAAAAACACAGCACUGUGCAAACACGAAAGUGGACGUAUACGGUGUGACGCCUGCCCGGUGCCGGAAGGUUAAUUGAUGGGGUCAGCGCAAGCGAAGCUCCUGAUCGAAGCCCCGGUAAACGGCGGCCGUAACUAUAACGGUCCUAAGGUAGCGAAAUUCCUUGUCGGGUAAGUUCCGACCUGCACGAAUGGCGUAAUGAUGGCCAGGCUGUCUCCACCCGAGACUCAGUGAAAUUGAACUCGCUGUGAAGAUGCAGUGUACCCGCGGCAAGACGGAAAGACCCCGUGAACCUUUACUAUAGCUUGACACUGAACAUUGAGCCUUGAUGUGUAGGAUAGGUGGGAGGCUUUGAAGCGUGGACGCCAGUCUGCGUGGAGCCGACCUUGAAAUACCACCCUUUAAUGUUUGAUGUUCUAACGUGGACCCGUGAUCCGGGUUGCGGACAGUGUCUGGUGGGUAGUUUGACUGGGGCGGUCUCCUCCUAAAGAGUAACGGAGGAGCACGAAGGUUGGCUAAUCCUGGUCGGACAUCAGGAGGUUAGUGCAAUGGCAUAAGCCAGCUUGACUGCGAGCGUGACGGCGCGAGCAGGUGCGAAAGCAGGUCAUAGUGAUCCGGUGGUUCUGAAUGGAAGGGCCAUCGCUCAACGGAUAAAAGGUACUCCGGGGAUAACAGGCUGAUACCGCCCAAGAGUUCAUAUCGACGGCGGUGUUUGGCACCUCGAUGUCGGCUCAUCACAUCCUGGGGCUGAAGUAGGUCCCAAGGGUAUGGCUGUUCGCCAUUUAAAGUGGUACGCGAGCUGGGUUUAGAACGUCGUGAGACAGUUCGGUCCCUAUCUGCCGUGGGCGCUGGAGAACUGAGGGGGGCUGCUCCUAGUACGAGAGGACCGGAGUGGACGCAUCACUGGUGUUCGGGUUGUCAUGCCAAUGGCACUGCCCGGUAGCUAAAUGCGGAAGAGAUAAGUGCUGAAAGCAUCUAAGCACGAAACUUGCCCCGAGAUGAGUUCUCCCUGAGACUUAAAGUCUCCUGAAGGAACGUUGAAGACGACGACGUUGAUAGGCCGGGUGUGUAAGCGCAGCGAUGCGUUGAGCUAACCGGUACUAAUGAACCGUGAGGCUUAACCUU
RNAcentral lists this ribosomal RNA (3006 nucleotides) under Salmonella enterica. Its description in RNAcentral is "23S ribosomal RNA". It matches the Rfam family "Bacterial large subunit ribosomal RNA". Lineage: Bacteria; Pseudomonadati; Pseudomonadota; Gammaproteobacteria; Enterobacterales; Enterobacteriaceae. The record is from RNAcentral.